This 72-nucleotide transfer RNA is filed under the name Stegodyphus dumicola. RNAcentral describes it as "tRNA-Thr". It matches the Rfam family "tRNA". From Rfam's summary of the family: Transfer RNA (tRNA) molecules are approximately 80 nucleotides in length. Lineage: Eukaryota; Metazoa; Arthropoda; Arachnida; Araneae; Eresidae. The record is from RNAcentral.
GCCUUCGUGGUGUAACGGUAGCACACUGGGCUGGUAUUCCAGAGGUCUCUGGUUCGAUUCCUGACGAAGGCG